RNAcentral lists this ribosomal RNA (423 nucleotides) under uncultured bacterium. Its description in RNAcentral is "bacterial SSU rRNA". It matches the Rfam family "Bacterial small subunit ribosomal RNA", at positions 356 to 776 of the family's 1533-position model. The record is from RNAcentral.
GAGGAAUAUUGGUCAAUGGACGAGAGUCUGAACCAGCCAAGUAGCGUGAAGGAUGACUGCCCUAUGGGUUGUAAACUUCUUUUAUCUGGGAAUAAAACAGGGUAUGCAUACCCUCUUGUAUGUACCAUAUGAAUAAGGAUCGGCUAACUCCGUGCCAGCAGCCGCGGUAAUACGGAGGAUCCGAGCGUUAUCCGGAUUUAUUGGGUUUAAAGGGAGCGUAGGUGGAUUGUUAAGUCAGUUGUGAAAGUUUGCGGCUCAACCGUAAAAUUGCAGUUGAAACUGGCAGUCUUGAGUACAGUAGAGGUGGGCGGAAUUCGUGGUGUAGCGGUGAAAUGCUUAGAUAUCACGAAGAACUCCGAUUGCGAAGGCAGCUCACUAGACUGCAACUGACACUGAUGCUCGAAAGUGUGGGUAUCAAACAGG